RNAcentral lists this ribosomal RNA (764 nucleotides) under uncultured bacterium. RNAcentral's name for it is "bacterial SSU rRNA". It matches the Rfam family "Bacterial small subunit ribosomal RNA", at positions 28 to 807 of the family's 1533-position model. The record is from RNAcentral.
GACGAACGCUGGCGGCGCGCCUAACACAUGCAAGUCGAACGGUGAAGAGGAGCUUGCUCCUCGGAACAGUGGCGGACGGGUGAGUAACACGUGAGCAACCUGGCUCUAAGAGGGGGACAACAGUUGGAAACGACUGCUAAUACCGCAUAACGUAUCGGGAUGGCAUCUUCCUGAUACCAAAGAUUUUAUCGCUUAGAGAUGGGCUCGCGUCUGAUUAGAUAGUUGGCGGGGUAACGGCCCACCAAGUCGACGAUCAGUAGCCGGACUGAGAGGUUGAACGGCCACAUUGGGACUGAGACACGGCCCACACUCCUACGGGAGGCAGCAGUGGGGGAUAUUGGACAAUGGGGGCAACCCUGAUCCAGCGACCCCGCGUGAGGGAAGAAGGUUUUCGGAUUGUAAACCUCUGUUGACGGAGAAAAAAAUGAUGGUAUCCGUUUAGAAAGCCACGGCUAACUACGUGCCAGCAGCCGCGGUAAUACGUAGGUGGCCAGCGUUGUCCGGAAUUACUGGGUGUAAAAGGGAGUGUAGGCGGGAUAUCAAGUCAGAAGUGAAAAUUACGGGCUCAACUCGUAACCUGCUUUUGAAACUGACAUUCUUGAGUGAAGUAGAGGCAAGCGGAAUUCCUAGUGUAGCGGUGAAAUGCGUAGAUAUUAGGAGGAACACCAGUGGCGAAGGCGGCUUGCUGGGCUUUUACUGACGCUGAGGCUCGAAAGCGGGGGAGCAAACAGGAGUUACAUACCCUGGUAGUCCACGCCGUAAAC